Molecule: long non-coding RNA, 371 nt
Filed under: Equus caballus (horse)
Lineage: Eukaryota; Metazoa; Chordata; Mammalia; Perissodactyla; Equidae
Description: lncRNA (ENSECAG00000049386.1)
Source: RNAcentral
UAGCACGACAUCAGCAAUAUCAUGAAACAAAGCAAGCUCAGGGGGUUUUGUCCACCGCGCAGUGUUAUAGAAGCAUGGCUGCAGGGUGGGGUGAGAAGUGAUGGAAGUCAUUUUGCUCAUUUCCACCCCCGACAGCAAAAUGUCUUUUGCUCCUGUAGACCAAUACAUUGUUAUUUCUGCAUGUGGCCUCCAAUCCUGAUACCCGAGUCACCUUCACGGUGCUUGAGGGGUGCUUGCUGUUUCCUGGGGCUGCGGCAGCCGCAGCGCAGACUGUUCUCUCUGCGCUGUGCUCAGCCUGGUCGUGCCAGAGAGGAGGGAAGAGAGGGGAGUCCCGGCCACCUGCCGCUCCGGACUCAGCAUCCCGCUUUGCU